This is a long non-coding RNA of Oenanthe melanoleuca, 297 nucleotides long. RefSeq lists it as uncharacterized. NCBI's taxonomy places the organism in Eukaryota, Metazoa, Chordata, Aves, Passeriformes, Muscicapidae. The record is from RefSeq and is a predicted model, not a curated record. The transcript has 2 exons.
AAAAAUGGCCCAGCACGAGCAGAAGUGGCUCCAUUCAGACACACUUCAGGCAUAAUCCAUUCUGAAGUGAAAACCCUAAAAAAAAACAUUUCCUUCUUUUUAUCAAUGUUUUUAUCACAUUUUAACCCAUAAAACAUACCAUUUUUUUCUCUUUCUUAGUAUUUUUACCACAUUUUAUCCCCAAGGAAUGGCUCUGCCAAACCAAAAACCCUCUGAAAAAAUGGCCCAGCACGAGCAGCAGUGGCUCCAUUCACACACACUUCAGGCAUAAUCCAUUCUGAAGUAAAAGCCCUAAAA